CCCCAGUAAACGGCGGCCGUAACUAUAACGGUCCUAAGGUAGCGAAAUUCCUUGUCAGGUAAAUUCUGACCCGCACGAAUGGCGUAACGACUUGGGCGCUGUCUCAACGAGAGAUCCGGUGAAAUUUUAAUACCUGUGAAGAUGCAGGUUACCCGCGACAAGACGGAAAGACCCCAUGGAGCUUUACUGCAGCUUGAUAUUGGAUUUGGGUACGAUCUGUACAGGAUAGGUGGGAGCCUGAGAAGCCGGAGCGCCAGCUUCGGUGGAGGCGCCGUUGGGAUACCACCCUGAUCGUAUCUAGAUUCUAACCUCUACCCCUGAAGCGGGGUAAGGGACCGUGUCAGGCGGGCAGUUUGACUGGGGCGGUCGCCUCCUAAAGAGUAACGGAGGCGCCCAAAGGUUCCCUCAGAAUGGUUGGAAAUCAUUCGCAGAGUGCAAAGGCAAAAGGGAGCUUGACUGCAAGACUUACAAGUCGAGCAGGGACGAAAGUCGGGCUUAGUGAUCCGGUGGUGCCGAAUGGAAGGGCCAUCGCUCAACGGAUAAAAGCUACCCUGGGGAUAACAGGCUUAUCUCCCCCAAGAGUCCACAUCGACGGGGAGGUUUGGCACCUCGAUGUCGGCUCAUCGCAUCCUGGGGCUGAAGUAGGUCCCAAGGGUUGGGCUGUUCGCCCAUUAAAGCGGUACGCGAGCUGGGUUCAGAACGUCGUGAGACAGUUCGGUCCCUAUCUGUCGCGGGCGCAGGAAAUUUGAGAGGAGCUGUCCUUAGUACGAGAGGACCGGGAUGGACGCACCGCUGGUGUACCAGUUGUUCCGCCAGGAGCACAGCUGGGUAGCUACGUGCGGACGGGAUAAGCGCUGAAAGCAUCUAAGCGUGAAGCCCCCCUCAAGAUGAGAUUUCCCAAUUCAGUAAGACCCCUUGAAGACGACAAGGUAGAUAGGUUCGGGGUGGAAGUGUGGCAACACAUGGAGCUGACGAAUACUAAUCGGUCGAGGGCUUAACCUAA
Molecule: ribosomal RNA, 1003 nt
Filed under: Paenibacillus sp. YN15
Lineage: Bacteria; Bacillati; Bacillota; Bacilli; Caryophanales; Paenibacillaceae
Description: bacterial LSU rRNA
Rfam family: Bacterial large subunit ribosomal RNA
Source: RNAcentral